UACGUAGGGCGCAAGCGUUGUCCGGAAUUAUUGGGCGUAAAGAGCUCGUAGGCGGUUUGUCGCGUCUGCUGUGAAAGCCCGGGGCUCAACCCCGGGUCUGCAGUGGGUACGGGCAGACUAGAGUGCAGUAGGGGAGACUGGAAUUCCGUGUGAGGCGUGAAAUGCGCAGAUAUCAGGAGGAACACCGAUGGCGAAGGCAGGUCUCUGGGCUGUUACUGACGCUGAGGAGCGAAAGCAUGGGGAGCGAACAGGAUUAGAUACCCGGGGUA
RNAcentral lists this ribosomal RNA (269 nucleotides) under uncultured bacterium. RNAcentral's name for it is "partial 16S ribosomal RNA". It matches the Rfam family "Bacterial small subunit ribosomal RNA", at positions 524 to 792 of the family's 1533-position model. The record is from RNAcentral.